Molecule: ribosomal RNA, 406 nt
Filed under: uncultured bacterium
Lineage: Bacteria
Description: partial 16S ribosomal RNA
Rfam family: Bacterial small subunit ribosomal RNA
Source: RNAcentral
AUUGAACGCUGGCGGCAGGCCUAACACAUGCAAGUCGAACGAGUGGCGGACGGGUGAGUAAUGUCUGGGAAACUGCCUGAUGGAGGGGGAUAACUACUGGAAACGGUAGCUAAUACCGCAUACCAUCGGAUGUGCCCAGAUGGGAUUAGCUAGUAGGUGGGGUAAAGGCUCACCUAGGCGACGAUCCCUAGCUGGUCUGAGAGGAUGACCCACCACACUGGAACUGAGACACGGACCAGACUCCUACUGGAGGCAGCAGUUGGGAAGAUUGCACAAUGGGCGCAAGCCUGAUGCAGCCAGGCCGCGGGUAUGAUGAAGGCCUUCGAGUUGUAAAGUACUUUCAGCGGGGAGUCGUUACCCGCAGAAGAAGCACCGGCUAACUCCGAGACAACAGCCGCGGUAAUUC